This 501-nucleotide ribosomal RNA is filed under the name uncultured bacterium. Its description in RNAcentral is "bacterial SSU rRNA". It matches the Rfam family "Bacterial small subunit ribosomal RNA", at positions 30 to 525 of the family's 1533-position model. The record is from RNAcentral.
AUUGAACGCUGGCGGAAUGCUUUACACAUGCAAGUCGAACGGCAGCACGGGGCAACCUGGUGGCGAGUGGCGAACGGGUGAGUAAUACAUCGGAACGUGCCCAAUCGUGGGGGAUAACGUAGCGAAAGUUACGCUAAUACCGCAUACGAUCUACGGAUGAAAGCGGGGGAUCGCAAGACCUCGCGCGAGUGGAGCGGCCGAUGUCAGAUUAGGUAGUUGGUGGGGUAAAGGCUCACCAAGCCAACGAUCUGUAGCUGGUCUGAGAGGACGACCAGCCACACUGGAACUGAGACACGGUCCAGACUCCUACGGGAGGCAGCAGUGGGGAAUUUUGGACAAUGGGCGCAAGCCUGAUCCAGCCAUUCCGCGUGCAGGAUGAAGGCCUUCGGGUUGUAAACUGCUUUUGUACGGAACGAAACGGCGAGCUCUAAUACAGUUUGCUAAUGACGGUACCGUAAGAAUAAGCACCGGCUAACUACGUGCCAGCAGCCGCGGUAAACA